RNAcentral lists this ribosomal RNA (429 nucleotides) under uncultured bacterium. Its description in RNAcentral is "bacterial SSU rRNA". It matches the Rfam family "Bacterial small subunit ribosomal RNA", at positions 355 to 776 of the family's 1533-position model. The record is from RNAcentral.
UGGGGAAUUUUGGACAAUGGGGGCAACCCUGAUCCAGCCAUGCCGCGUGAGUGAAGAAGGCCUUCGGGUUGUAAAGCUCUUUCGGCCGGGAAAAAAUCGGGCAGGCUAAUAUCCUGUCUGGAUGAUGGUACCGGAAUAAGAAGCACCGGCUAACUACGUGCCAGCAGCCGCGGUAAUACGUAGGGUGCGAGCGUUAAUCGGAAUUACUGGGCGUAAAGCGUGCGCAGGCGGUUUGGUAAGACAGGCGUGAAAUCCCCGGGCUCAACCUGGGAAUGGCGCUUGUGACUGCCAGACUAGAGUACGGCAGAGGGGGGUGGAAUUCCACGUGUAGCAGUGAAAUGCGUAGAGAUGUGGAGGAACACCAAUGGCGAAGGCAGCCCCCUGGGUCGAUACUGACGCUCAUGCACGAAAGCGUGGGGAGCAAACAGG